Molecule: ribosomal RNA, 492 nt
Filed under: uncultured bacterium
Lineage: Bacteria
Description: partial 16S ribosomal RNA
Rfam family: Bacterial small subunit ribosomal RNA
Source: RNAcentral
AGUGAACGCUGGCGGUAGGCCUAACACAUGCAAGUCGAACGGCAGCACAGUAAGAGCUUGCUCUUACGGGUGGCGAGUGGCGGACGGGUGAGGAAUACAUCGGAAUCUACUUUUUCGUGGGGGAUAACGUAGGGAAACUUACGCUAAUACUGCAUACGACCUACGGGUGAAAGCAGGGGAUCUUCGGACCUUGCGCGAUUGAAUGAGCCGAUGUCGGAUUAGCUAGUUGGCGGGGUAAAGGCCCACCAAGGCGACGAUCCGUAGCUGGUCUGAGAGGAUGAUCAGCCACACUGGAACUGAGACACGGUCCAGACUCCUACGGGAGGCAGCAGUGGGGAAUAUUGAACAAUGGGCGCAAGCCUGAUCCAGCCAUACCGCGUGGGUGAAGAAGGCCUUCGGGUUGUAAAGCCCUUUUGUUGGGAAAGAAAAGCAGCAGGUUAAUACCCCGCUGUUCUGACGGUACCCAAAGAAUAAGCACCGGCUAACUUCGUG